Molecule: long non-coding RNA, 629 nt
Organism: Apis cerana (Asiatic honeybee)
Lineage: Eukaryota; Metazoa; Arthropoda; Insecta; Hymenoptera; Apidae
Source: RefSeq, a predicted model, not a curated record
CCAUUUAUGAACUAUAUUUCAGGUUCGCCAACUGUGUAAUAAUAAAAGAAAGUUGCAUUUUUGUAUCGGCGCGAAUUUAAAUAAGCAAUUAUAUUUUAACAUUCAUUUUUUUUUGUUUAUAUGAAGUUAUAGAGUUGAACAUCAAUUGAAAUGAUAUAAGAUAUUAAAUAAAGUGAUACAAAUUAAUCUAAUCUUGGAAAUCUUGUAAAAUGUUUUGUAUUACUCGAUUAAAAUUUUUCCAUAAAAAUAUUAUCUUAUUAAAUCGAUCAAUUUGUUUGGGACGUCCAUCUUUAAUUGAAAACAAAGCGUUAAGAAAUUUGAAAUUAAAACAAGCAAAAAUGCAGGUCAAAUAAUUUUAAUACGAAAUAAUGUGAUUUAUGAAAAAUAAAUAGUCGCGUUAUAUAAUUUAUAUAAAUUAUUUUUCAUUUAUUUAGUGUGAAGAUAAUGUUCCUGUAUUUCUGAAAUGCGGUUGGCGAGAUAAAAUAGUAUAUUGGAUAAUUUUAGCAUUUACUUUAUAUAAUACAGUAAUGACAUUUAGACAAUUGUUAUUAUUAAGUGAAAAAUUUCAGUGAUUGUAAAAAUUUUUCAUAAUCAAAAAUAAAUUGAAUAUUGAUUAAUUAUUAACUAAA